RNAcentral lists this non-coding RNA (24 nucleotides) under Arabidopsis thaliana (thale cress). Lineage: Eukaryota; Viridiplantae; Streptophyta; Magnoliopsida; Brassicales; Brassicaceae. The record is from RNAcentral.
AAAGGCUGCAAUAUAAGACUCAAC